This 888-nucleotide unclassified non-coding RNA is filed under the name Hevea brasiliensis (rubber tree). Lineage: Eukaryota; Viridiplantae; Streptophyta; Magnoliopsida; Malpighiales; Euphorbiaceae. The record is from RNAcentral.
AGCCUGUGCCUUUGGAUCAGGCUUUUUUGAACUGUCAGCUGCACAUAUAGCACAUAUGCUAAACAAUCAAGGAAAAGGAAAAUCCAUAAACAUGCAUCCACCGCAUUAUAGCUAUAACCCUCCCUGUAUUAAGAAAAUAUGGGUGGGAAUUAUCAUAAAUGCAGGGCCAUCUUCAACAAUGCUAAUUAAACUUGUAUUCCCAAGACGUAAAAAAACUAUAAAAGCACAGUACUUAGCAAUGAAACAAAGUCUCUGUGAACAAUACAAAGAUGAAGAACCAAUUAGAAAUAUCUAAAUAUAGGAGGACACCAUUUCCAAUUACUCAUAGCACUCAGUACUUUCUCUCAUCCAUUCAUUUAUCCAAAGUAAAUCAUAGUUAGCAGAUAGCAAGUACAAGCCUCUCCUAGUCAAGCCUAUUUUUGGGUAAAAAUUUAGUUCAAAAGAAACAAACGCAAGAAGCCCUUUAAAAGAAAAACUUGAAACCAGCAUAACAACAUGCUGAACACAACAUAAUCACAUGGCUCACACACACUCAUUUUUCAUUAUUCAAUAUUUACCAAACCAUAAAGCCCAAUCUUUUUUCUAAUCCUUCUCAUUGCAAACAUCAUUUAUUAAAAAAAAUUAUGAUUACAGCCAUAUAAAGAUGAAAUGAACUUGUAUAACUAAAAUAUGCAUUCCUGGCCACUGCACUUUUGCAUUUUGGAGACAAAAACAGAAAGAAGGUAAUAGAAAAUUCUUUAGACGAGCCACAACUAAUCAAUACAACAUCACAAAUCAUGGUUCUAUCAUGCUUAAAGAAGGGACAUGGGCCUAAAAUCAUACCUUUCCCCGGCGCCAUUGCAACUAAUCCACAAUAAGCUUUCGCUAAACGCUUCUAAUUGCUUGAAA